This 640-nucleotide ribosomal RNA is filed under the name uncultured Alphaproteobacteria bacterium. RNAcentral describes it as "bacterial SSU rRNA". It matches the Rfam family "Bacterial small subunit ribosomal RNA", at positions 224 to 880 of the family's 1533-position model. Lineage: Bacteria; Pseudomonadati; Pseudomonadota; Alphaproteobacteria. The record is from RNAcentral.
GAUCGGCCCGCGUCUGAUUAGCUAGUUGGUGGGGUAACCGCCUACCAAGGCGAUGAUCCGUAGCUGGUCUGAGAGGAUGAUCAGCCACACUGGGACUGAGACACGGCCCACACUCCUACGGGAGGCAGCAGUGGGGAAUAUUGGACAAUGGGGGCAACCCUGAUCCAGCAAUGCCGCGUGAGUGAUGAAGGCCUUAGGGUUGUAAAGCUCUUUCGGCGGGGACGAUGAUGACCGUACCCGCAGAAGAAGCCCCGGCUAACUUCGUGCCAGCAGCCGCGGUAAUACGAAGGGGGCGAGCGUUGUUCGGAUUUACUGGGCGUAAAGGGCGCGCAGGCGGUCUUGAAAGUCAGGCGUGAAAGCCCCGGGCUUAACCUGGGAAUUGCGCUUGAUACUCUGAGACUGGAGUACGGGAGAGGAGAGUGGAAUUCCCAGUGUAGAGGUGAGAUUCGUAGAUAUUGGGAAGAACACCAGUGGCGAAUGCUGCUCUCUUGACCGUAACUGAACCUGAAGCCCCAAAGCGUGGGGAGCAAACAGGAUUAGAUACCCUGGUAGUCCACGCCGUAAACGAUGUGCGCUAGACGUUGGAAAGCUUUCCCUUUCCGUGUCCAAAGCUAAAGCGGUAAACGCACCGCCUGUGGGA